Molecule: transfer-messenger RNA, 408 nt
Filed under: Holosporales bacterium
Lineage: Bacteria; Pseudomonadati; Pseudomonadota; Alphaproteobacteria; Holosporales
Rfam family: Alphaproteobacteria transfer-messenger RNA
About the family: Bacterial tmRNA, also known as 10Sa RNA or SsrA, is named for its dual tRNA and mRNA-like properties.
Source: RNAcentral
AAAGUUUCGUUUCGUGGUGUGAUUCGCUAUAAUGAUUCUGUUGGGGAUACCCAACUAUGACGAUAAAUAUUGGCUAGAAUAGGUGACUUGGACCCGGGGGCAGUACCCGGCGCCUCCACCAUCAGAGGAAUCGCCUUUGGCGAUCGCUAUGGGGGCGACACAGCUUCGACAAGCACAAUAAAGGGUCCGUGUUCGUUCGUAAUUGUCCCGUCGUUAUCGGGCAAAAAAGUAUAGAUGCCAAAAAUAUUAGCAUCUCGAGUGUAGCAAAUUCCUCUCGUAAGAGACGGAAAGUUGCAAACGGUAAUGGCGGCAGGUCCGACCUUAUGGCUGCUUAAUUAGCCUAACGGCUGAUUGAUCGGCAAUAGUACUCGCGGUUUGAGAGCGACCGGGCAACAGAACGCUCUCACU